This 453-nucleotide ribosomal RNA is filed under the name uncultured bacterium. Its description in RNAcentral is "partial 16S ribosomal RNA". It matches the Rfam family "Bacterial small subunit ribosomal RNA", at positions 29 to 507 of the family's 1533-position model. The record is from RNAcentral.
AUGAACGCUGACAGAAUGCUUAACACAUGCCAGUCUCCUUGAACUUCGGUUUGGGUGGCGGACGGGUGAGUAACGCGUAAAGAACUUGCCUCACAGUUAGGGACAACAUUUGGAAACGAAUGCUAAUACCUGAUAUUAUGAUUUUAGGGCAUCCUAGGAUUAUGAAAGCUAUAUGUGCUGUGAGAGAGCUUUGCGUCCCAUUAGCUAGUUGGAGAGGUAACGGCUCACCAAGGCGAUGAUGGGUAGCCGGCCUGAGAGGGUGAACGGCCACAAGGGGACUGAGACACGGCCCUUACUCCUACGGGAGGCAGCAGUGGGGAAUAUUGGACAAUGGACCAAAAGUCUGAUCCAGCAAUUCUGUGUGCACGAUGACGUUUUUCGGAAUGUAAAGUGCUUUCAGUUGGGAAGAAAAAAAUGACGGUACCAACAGAAGAAGUGACGGCUAAAUACGUG